RNAcentral lists this ribosomal RNA (230 nucleotides) under uncultured bacterium. Its description in RNAcentral is "partial 16S ribosomal RNA". It matches the Rfam family "Bacterial small subunit ribosomal RNA", at positions 562 to 791 of the family's 1533-position model. The record is from RNAcentral.
AAAGCGCACGCAGGCGGUCUGUCAAGUCAGAUGUGAAAUCCCCGGGCUUAACCUGGGAACUGCAUUUGAAACUGGCAGGCUAGAGUCUUGUAGAGGGGGGUAGAAUUCCAGGUGUAGCGGUGAAAUGCGUAGAGAUCUGGAGGAAUACCGGUGGCGAAGGCGGCCCCCUGGACAAAGACUGACGCUCAGGUGCGAAAGCGUGGGGAGCAAACAGGAUUAGAUACCCGGGU